RNAcentral lists this unclassified non-coding RNA (330 nucleotides) under soil metagenome. Its description in RNAcentral is "partial contains 5.8S ribosomal RNA, internal transcribed spacer 2, and large subunit ribosomal RNA". The stretch from base 1 to 120 matches the Rfam family "5.8S ribosomal RNA", at positions 35 to 154 of the family's 154-position model. The record is from RNAcentral.
GAUGAAGAACGUAGCGAAAUGCGAUAAGUAAUGUGAAUUGCAGAAUUCAGUGAAUCAUCGAAUCUUUGAACGCACAUUGCGCCCCUUGGUAUUCCGGGGGGCAUGCCUGUUCGAGCGUCAUUUCAACCCUCAAGCUUCUGCUUGGUCUUGUGCCGUGCCGGCAACGGCUGGCCUUAAAACUAGUGGCGGUGCCAUCGAGCUCUACGCGUAGUAAUUCUAUCUCGCGUCUGGGCUUCGGUGGACGCUGGCCAGCAACCCCCAAUUUUCUAUGGUUGACCUCGGAUCAGGUAGGGAUACCCGCUGAACUUAAGCAUAUCAAUAAGCGGAGGA